GGGUCAGUAGGUUGGUCGUGCCACCGGUACGUACUGGUCUCACUGAUUCCUCCUUCCUGAAGAACCGUAAUGCCAUUAAUUGGGUGUUGCGGGGAAACAGGACUGUUACUUUGAAAAAAUUAGAGUGUUUAAAGCAAGCUAACGCUUGAAUACAUUGGCAUGGAAUAAUGAAAUAGGACGAUCGAUCCUAUUUUGUUGGUUUCUAGGAUUGACGUA
RNAcentral lists this ribosomal RNA (216 nucleotides) under Glomeromycotina sp. Its description in RNAcentral is "partial small subunit ribosomal RNA". The stretch from base 87 to 216 matches the Rfam family "Eukaryotic small subunit ribosomal RNA", at positions 733 to 864 of the family's 1831-position model. Lineage: Eukaryota; Fungi; Glomeromycota. The record is from RNAcentral.